This 207-nucleotide ribosomal RNA is filed under the name uncultured bacterium. RNAcentral's name for it is "partial 16S ribosomal RNA". It matches the Rfam family "Bacterial small subunit ribosomal RNA", at positions 568 to 774 of the family's 1533-position model. The record is from RNAcentral.
CGCGUAGGCGGUUUUUUAAGUCGGAUGUGAAAGCCCCGGGCUCAACCUGGGAACUGCAUUCGAUACUGGGAGACUUGAGUACGAGAGAGGGAGGUAGAAUUCCACGUGUAGCGGUGAAAUGCGUAGAUAUGUGGAGGAAUACCAGUGGCGAAGGCGGCCUCCUGGCUCGAUACUGACGCUGAGGUGCGAAAGCGUGGGGAGCAAACG